This is a long non-coding RNA of Xiphophorus couchianus (Monterrey platyfish), 580 nucleotides long. RefSeq lists it as uncharacterized. NCBI's taxonomy places the organism in Eukaryota, Metazoa, Chordata, Actinopteri, Cyprinodontiformes, Poeciliidae. The transcript is spliced from 2 exons. The record is from RefSeq and is a predicted model, not a curated record.
CUCUCUUUCUGGAAGCCCUACUCAACGUCUCUCUUUGUCUGUAAAAAAUGGCUAUGAAGAAAAAUCGGGCAUAUAUCCCCCCAGAGGACCACGGCGUCGGACGAAAGCGCAGAACGAACACUGAUUCUUGAUGUCCGUUCCUCAUCAUGGUGGGACUCCUCUUCCCUGCCUGGAGCAACCAAUAUGACGGCUGUCUGAGCAGACACGCAGCCGGGGAAGAGGACGGGGCUCAACGUGAGGCAGCCUCGACUGACAGCGGCUCGGGCCAAUGGAGGACCGCGCUGGGGUGACUACUUCCUCCAGAGCGGAUAGGGAAUGCCCCGGCACAGGCUGGACUCAGGCGUGCCCGGCCACCAAUGGGUGUGAGGAGGGGGAGGAAGCUCUCCGCUGGCUGCUACUUGGAAACGUGGAGCCGCGAAGGGGAUACUGGUUCCUGUAUAUCCAGGCCAGGCCGAGGAUGAUACCAACAGGGGCGGUCCUAAGGCACUUUUACCAGGGGCCCCAGGGUGCGCCCAGGUUUUUCUGUUCUGUUUUUAUUUAUUUAUUUUUCAAUAAAUUUCAUGGUGGGCACAAAACAAAA